GCCGGGCGCCGUGGCACGUGCCUGUAGUCCCAGCUAUUCAGGAGGCUGAGGCUGGAGGAUCUCUUGAGUCCAGGAGUUCUGGGCUGUAGUGCGCUAUGCCGAUCGGGCAUCCACACUAAGUUCAGCAUCAAUAUGGUGACCUCCCGGGAGCAGGGGACCACCAAGUUGCCUAAAGAGGGGUGAACCGGCCCAGGUCGAAAAUGGAGCAGGUCAAAACUCCAGUGCUGAUCAGUAGUGGGAUUGCGCCUGUGAAUAGCCACUGCACUCCAGCCUGGGCAACAUAGCGAGACCCCGUCUCU
This 299-nucleotide signal recognition particle RNA is filed under the name Aotus nancymaae (Ma's night monkey). RNAcentral's name for it is "Metazoan signal recognition particle RNA (ENSANAG00000011450.1)". It matches the Rfam family "Metazoan signal recognition particle RNA". From Rfam's summary of the family: The signal recognition particle (SRP) is a universally conserved ribonucleoprotein. It is involved in the co-translational targeting of proteins to membranes. The record is from RNAcentral. Lineage: Eukaryota; Metazoa; Chordata; Mammalia; Primates; Aotidae.